This 627-nucleotide ribosomal RNA is filed under the name Salmonella enterica subsp. enterica serovar Newport. RNAcentral's name for it is "partial 23S ribosomal RNA". It matches the Rfam family "Bacterial large subunit ribosomal RNA", at positions 2211 to 2833 of the family's 2925-position model. The record is from RNAcentral. Lineage: Bacteria; Pseudomonadati; Pseudomonadota; Gammaproteobacteria; Enterobacterales; Enterobacteriaceae.
UGUUUGAUGUUCUAACGUGGACCCGUUACCCGGGUUGCGGACAGUGUCUGGUGGGUAGUUUGACUGGGGCGGUCUCCUCCUAAAGAGUAACGGAGGAGCACGAAGGUUGGCUAAUCCUGGUCGGACAUCAGGAGGUUAGUGCAAUGGCAUAAGCCAGCUUGACUGCGAGCGUGACGGCGCGAGCAGGUGCGAAAGCAGGUCAUAGUGAUCCGGUGGUUCUGAAUGGAAGGGCCAUCGCUCAACGGAUAAAAGGUACUCCGGGGAUAACAGGCUGAUACCGCCCAAGAGUUCAUAUCGACGGCGGUGUUUGGCACCUCGAUGUCGGCUCAUCACAUCCUGGGGCUGAAGUAGGUCCCAAGGGUAUGGCUGUUCGCCAUUUAAAGUGGUACGCGAGCUGGGUUUAGAACGUCGUGAGACAGUUCGGUCCCUAUCUGCCGUGGGCGCUGGAGAACUGAGGGGGGCUGCUCCUAGUACGAGAGGACCGGAGUGGACGCAUCACUGGUGUUCGGGUUGUCAUGCCAAUGGCACUGCCCGGUAGCUAAAUGCGGAAGAGAUAAGUGCUGAAAGCAUCUAAGCACGAAACUUGCCCCGAGAUGAGUUCUCCCUGAGACUUAGAGUCUCCUGAAG